GCUAGGUGGAGGCGCCCGAACUGCCGCCCGUCACGGCCGGGGACCAGCCGGCCACACGCGCCGCCGCAGGACCAGCUUGCGACGCGCUCAUGGGAGCACCAGCAGCGGCGCUCGGCGCGAUGCUCCAUAAAUGUCGGUGUCCUUCCUCGACCGGUGUCCAGCACGCGAUGGAACCAGCCCGCCAAUGGCAGCUGCGCGGCUGUCGGGGCGGGGCCGAAGCCCAGGGGUGGCGGCAGAUGCACGGGCAGGAGGAACCCGUGGGCGUGGCUGGCCGCAGACGGGAGCAAUCGCUGGGGGAGGCCUUCUUCCUGUUCUAAAGGCCCUUCUGGCUCACGUUCUGCCUCGGUGUCAUCAUCCCUAUCAAGCUCUGCAAGGUACUCCUCCUGGUUGACCUGAGGCUGGUGUCAUCGUCCCCUUCAAGCUCGACAAUGUACUCCUCCUGGUUAACCUGAGGCUGCAUGCCUGGUCGGGUCCUCGAUCUGAUCUGUUGGAACUCGGAUGUGGCUAAGAGAUUGGAUGUCGUGUUCUUGGAGUGGAGUGGGCUAGAGCAGGAGUAGAGAUGGCACUGAUUGACGCAAUUCCUAACAGCAUUCGCAUCCCUGUGUGGAAAUUAUUUGGAGGGGCAUCAGAUACUGUGACUACAGACAUAACGAUUCCAAUCGUGGCCCCAAAUGAAGCUGCACAAUUGGCCGCAAAAUAAUGAGUGCAAGGGUUUCAAACGCUGAAGCUCAAGUUUGGGAAAAACUUGAACUCGGAUAUACAAGUUUGGAAAAACAAAAUGGGUGUGACCCCUGUGCUCUUUGAGCAAACAGUUCACAAAGAUUAUAGGGAUGGUCUCCGUGAUAUUAGUAUUGUUGCCAUGGAGAAAUACAAUGUCACUAGCGCUGCUGAUAAAAGUUAUUAGAAUUUACAUGA
Panicum virgatum (switchgrass) is the source of this 915-nucleotide long non-coding RNA. RefSeq lists it as uncharacterized. The record is from RefSeq and is a predicted model, not a curated record. NCBI's taxonomy places the organism in Eukaryota, Viridiplantae, Streptophyta, Magnoliopsida, Poales, Poaceae. The transcript has 5 exons.